GCUGGCGUAGCUCAGUUGGUAGAGCAAUUGAUUUGUAAUCAAUAGGUCGGGGGUUCGAGUCCCUUUGCCAGCUCCA
RNAcentral lists this transfer RNA (76 nucleotides) under Clostridia bacterium. Its description in RNAcentral is "tRNA-Thr". It matches the Rfam family "tRNA". Rfam says of the family: Transfer RNA (tRNA) molecules are approximately 80 nucleotides in length. Their secondary structure includes four short double-helical elements and three loops (D, anti-codon, and T loops). Lineage: Bacteria; Bacillati; Bacillota; Clostridia. RNAcentral also lists the same sequence under 1 other name. The record is from RNAcentral.